RNAcentral lists this ribosomal RNA (432 nucleotides) under uncultured bacterium. RNAcentral's name for it is "partial 16S ribosomal RNA". It matches the Rfam family "Bacterial small subunit ribosomal RNA", at positions 29 to 506 of the family's 1533-position model. The record is from RNAcentral.
AACGAACGCUGGCGGCAUGCCUAACACAUGCAAGUCGAACGAGACCUUCGGGUCUAGUGGCGCACGGGUGCGUAACGCGUGGGAACCUGCCCUUAGGUUCGGAAUAACUCCCCGAAAGGGGUGCUAAUACCGGAUAAUGUCUUCGGACCAAAGAUUUAUCGCCUUUGGAUGGGCCCGCGUUGGAUUAGCUAGUUGGUAGGGUAAAAGCCUACCAAGGCGACGAUCCAUAGCUGGUCUGAGAGGAUGAUCAGCCACACUGGGACUGAGACACGGCCCAGACCCCUACGGGGGGGGGGAGGGGGGAAAAUUGGACAAGGGGCGAAAGCCUGAUCCAGCAGUGCCGGGGGAGUGAGGAAGGCCUGAGGGUUGUAAAGCUCUUUUACCCGGGAUGAUAAUGACAGUACCGGGAAAAUAAGCCCCGGCUAACUCCGG